AGAGGAAAAUCCGUCGAGUUUAAAAAUCGUGAGG
This 34-nucleotide transfer RNA is filed under the name Stemodia sp. Nordenstam 237. RNAcentral's name for it is "partial tRNA-Leu". The record is from RNAcentral. Lineage: Eukaryota; Viridiplantae; Streptophyta; Magnoliopsida; Lamiales; Plantaginaceae.